AAGUUCCGGAAGUCAGUCAGGCCUCGAAAGUCAAGUUCCGGAAACUGGCCUUGCAAUCAUUAGGUGGAGAUAUUGUUUGUUCUGUGCUCAGAUUUGUCAUCCUCCUUAAAUUCAAAGGAGAUAGAAGCUGCAAUACUUGUCAGAGUUUAGGGGUGAUUGGAAAGGAAUUUUAAGAAUCCGUUAUUAUGUUUCAGACAGCAGCAGCCUCCCUCAUGAUGCGGAAGGCAACGUGGGAGGGAAACCCUCCGGGGCCUGAUUCAGCUUGGCAAGCGUGAGAGGACACCCGAUGAACUUCUCGGAGGUAUCCAGAAAAGACCAGACCCAAACCCAGACAGAAUCUUCUUUUCAUGUUGGUGGAUGGCGGUGGGGAGGAGUAGGCACAUGCGUCCAGUCCUAGGCAUUCCAGAGAUUAAAAACACAGGAGCAGAGGAGGAAAACUGGAGAGGUUUUAAACAUCAGAAAAUGUCCGCAUGGGCUAUUACAGAGUCUUUGGUGGAGGUGGAGAGAGUCCCUGCGCAACCCCUUCCCUGCUGCCAGCCAGCCUCAUCGUAAAGGGACUUGAGAGCAGCCAAGGGGAGGAGUAUUUACAGGUCUGGCAUUGGCCAAGAGGCGGAGGCGAGCAGGAUGAGCAGGAUGCAGCUUUCUUUCUGGGCCUUGCAUUUCACAGUGAGGAUUUUAACACUAAUCCUGGUAAAGCCUGCAUAUCAGCGGAGAGUCAGAGUAAAACAAUCUAAAAUGUGGCCCUUCCCAUUGAGUAACCUGUGACCUUAUAGCAAUUGAACUAUUGGCUGCAUUACUGUAAGUUAAUAACCUAUUUUACAGAAUGGAGCCUACAGACUCUGUUUUAAAUGGCUGUGCUUUUUUUUUUUUUUUUUAAACAACAUUCCUGCAGAAUUCCCUGGAGUGAGACUCAGGACAAUAUUAAAUCCAAUGAAUCACGCAGCCUUCAGGAGGGCAGGGCAGCAUACGGCAGAGCAGCACUGAAUGAUGGCUUGGCUUGGUGUCCCUGGUGGCAGCAGUGGCCACACAGGCACCAUGUUCUCAUUCAACAAAGACUCAGUUUUGACAUGAGGACUGUGAACAUCUCCAGAACAGAAGACAUUUGGAAGAGCUCAUGUCCAUUGGUAUCUGAAACUUGGCUGCUCAUGUGGUCUCCAGAAAUACCUUGUAUCCUGCUGUGAUCCUCAGCAACACCAAUUACAUGGAAAAGAACCAACAAUGUGAAGAAACAUGAAUAUGGUGUUCAUUUUCAAACUGAAAAAGGAAAUAAUUGCAGUUACUAUUUACAGUAUCUGGCUUUUCAGGCUUCAUGCUACACGCAGCUAACUCUUUGUCAAACAAUUAAUUUUGUUUAAAAUAAAUAAGUUUAUAUAUUUAAGGUCAUGUUUCAGAAGUCAAACCAUAACCAUGGUUUUUAUUGAGUCAUAAAAUGAGUUGGGGAAAAGGCAAUGCAUCUAAAACAACUCUUGAGAUCCUCCACGAAGAAUUUUAAGUAUCAGUGUAAAUUAAAAGCAGAUUCACAGAGUGUUCUAUGAAACAGAGCUCCCUAUUAACUUGAGGGUGCCAGAUUGGAUCAUUCCUCAGAUUUCUCAUGGCUUUUAAAUGCAAUAAGUACAAGCCAGGUGGAUUAUCAAAGGGAUCUGUGGCCAGUAUGGCAUUAGUGUUCCAGUGUGAUUUAAGCACAUACAUCACGACUGAUUUUUUUUUAGUGGUUAAAACAUACAAGUGACAAUGUGCCAACAAACUUUUCUCAAACCAUACCAUAUAUUGUUGGUUUAGCAGAGGUUCCAAUUCAUAGCAAUAAGUUUUGUGCCUUUUAUUCUGAAUUUCACAGUCUUUUAAAAAACUUUUUUAUUUUUUAAAUGUCUCUGUAAUUUUUGUUUGUUUAAUGCUUCUUAAAAUUAUUUACUUAUUAUUAUUAUAAUACUUUAAGUUCUGGGGUACAUGUACACACGUAGAACUACUAACAAACUUUCACAGUCUUUUAAGAAAGCGCCUUGACUGAUAACUGGCUGAAAGACCAUAAAUGAAAUCAAUGAAAACUAAUAUCAAUGAAAAUAAACCUAGUCAAGGCGAUGGCCGCUGGAAUAACAGGAUCCCGAAGUUAAGAUUUAUUUAGCAUGCUGCUUCUUUCUCAGAAAUCAAAAGAGUAAACACACAUCAAGUUAAGUACGUGAUCCCUAAACCAACUAUAUCUGACAAUUCUUGGCUAAAAACUUGUAGAUACACUUUCAAGAAGUGGAAAAAUGGAAGAAAAUGAUAUCCCUAAACUAACAAAUGAGAAAAUAGUUAACAUGAGGCCUUAUCCUUUUGGUGGCCAGUGGUUGUCCCUGGUUGCAGACUGUGUGCACAGGGAAGGACAGGGCCUCUUUCAUGUUAUGAGGGGGCACUGAGCCACCGUGGGAAGGAAGGAACUCAGAUUAUCUCCUGUUAACUAGAUGAAGGAAAAAUUGUUUUAAUUAGGGACGUCUCCCAGCUCCCUUCCUGAACCCUAGCAUUUAUCUACUGGUAAAAUAGGGCUAGGCACCAUUGAAGAAUGUGGGAUGGAGCUCCCCAUAAGUUGAAAGUAGUCAGGCUUAGGGACUGAUGAUGGGAGGAACUGGACUGGCCUCGAUGCUGGAGUAUUGCAUGGAGAGAGAGCAGGUACUUAGCCACCCUUCUGUUUCAAAGCUGGAGCUACUUGGGUUGUAUCACAUUUGCAUUCUAAUAGUCUACCAGCUAAUAGGCCUCCAGCCUUGAGGAAGUCAAGGAGGAAAAGGAGAAAGAUGGGAUUUCUUAAUGCUGAUGAAGUCUUUAUUCCAGUUACAGAGAGAUGGAACUGGUGGAUUUAAUUCUUGUUGAAAUAUGUGUCGUUGCAUCUUACCUACGAAAUCAGGAUCUCCAUCUCUUUUUGUAAAUUCAAAAUGGUCUCCAACAUACAACGAUCAUAAACUAUACUUAGAUCUGUACUGCUUGAUUAAAUUGUGCUUUACUGCCACAAAAGGGCCAUCAGAAGGCAUUUGCAUGGGUGGGAACCUGGGAGCUUCCUCACUGGGCUGAAAGGUAAGUGACUAGAGUCACUGGAGUGUUGGGUCUCAAUUCCUUCUUUCUCUACUCCUCCACUUGUCCUAUGUUUGAAGCCGAGGAUAAGAACAGCAAUGCUGUUACCCAGGCACUAGUGUAAAUAAAACCAAGCUAGAAAUGACGGAGCAGGAGGAAAUACUUGUGAUAUUCCACAAAUACCACCACUGCUAGUAGUGAGAGAAAAGUACUUCGACAGGAAAACAAGAAGCCAGUGAGCCAUUCUUAAGGGGAAUCCUAAGAGCACGGACGCCAUUCUUCUCCCACUUAGGAUGUCUUGCUGUAUGAGUGCAUGGAGGCACCUGGACUUCUCUAGAGCCAGAAUUCGGAGAAUCUUUUGCUUUAUUUGAGUUGACCAUGAGGCAGUUUUCCUGUAAAUGUGACUGACUUAAGUAAAUCAAAUACAAAACAAAAAUCAGCUUUAGGUCCCAUGAGGAACUUCCAGAAAUACCCAAAGUCUAGUUAGUCACUGAAGAACAAGUAUAAUUCCUAAUGGCAAUGCUUCCUACAGCAUUCUGUGUAAAUCUGGAACCCCAAGAUAUUAACAGGUUAUUUUUAAGAAAGGGGUUUUUGUUAAUUUGGGAAACACUGGAUAAAAUGAAGUGACAGUAUUUGAGAGCACUGAAAUGAAAUCUUUCCCUGCUAUGAUUCUGAGCUGCAGGUUCUCCUCUGGCUCCCACCAUGAGAUAGCUGGCAGGACCUCUGCAGUGGCCACAGGUCAGGAGUGGAGGAGCUGAGGAGGUGGCAUGUAUAAGGUCUCCAUGAUCAGGGAGGGUCAGAAGAAAUCAAAGGUCUCAUCCUGGUGUUUCUCCCACGUGGAGCUCUGUGGGGGCAGGGUGGGGGACAUGACAGGAAUAGCAAAAUGGGUGUAAGGUGCCCAAGAACUUUGGGGCUAGCUGCUCAACUUCCAUGUGUAGCUUGCGGAAGGCUGCAGGCUUAUAGGAGAAACCUGUGUUCCGCUCAGCUCUGUGUCCAGAGGGAAGAAAAAUUAUGAGACAAAUGGGACUGUUUCACAUUUUGGCAAACAUCUUGAAUGCCCGGCUUGACUGAAGGCAACUGGGUUUUCUUAUCUGCUUCUGCACUGAGUCUUUUGAAAUACCUAACCUCAUGCAGGCUCUGGAAAACCCUGCUGCACAUAAUGCUAAUGUCUUAGUAUUAUCAUGCAGGUAAUUUUGAGAUUCUGGAUCCCUGAAAACGCCUCAGGGACUCCCGGACUUCACUUUGAGAAUCAAUAUGACAGUGACUGGGGUUGAAACAAAGAGACAACAGGGCCUUCACAACUGGACAGCCAGGGUCUGGACUCCUUGGGGGACCAGCUUGAGUCUCAAUAGUCUAGCCAAAGCCACAGAAGUCAGCAUAACAACUGUGCAAGACAGGCCAGUGAGUGUCCAUUGGACACUGUGGGAGGCCAAGAGCCCUUCCUCCUGAGCCAGGGGGCACCAUGGAGAGGGAUGUGGGGAAGCAGGGAGGCAGGAAUUUGACUCAAUGGGCACCUCAAAGACUGUGUCAUCCAAGUCACUGAACAUCUUUGGCAGGGCUAUGCAUCGACUGAACAUUUAAACCCCAAUUUCUUUUUAAUCAGAAGAAACUGAGCUGGUUCACUUUAAGAAACAGACUGGCAGUCCCUCAAAAUAUUGAAUAGCGUUAUCAUACAACGAGCAGUUCUGCUCCUAGAGAUAUACCCAAGAGAAGUAAAAACGUUUGUCCACACAAAAACGUGUACACAAAUGUUCAGAGCAACGUUACUCAUAAGAGUCAAAAGGUGGGAAUGCUCCAAACGCACAUCAAGUGAUGAAUGGAUAAACGGAGGUUGGUAAAUCCAUGGAGUUGAAUAUUAGCCACAAAAAGGAAUGAGGCAAACACAUGCUGCAAGGAAGAUGAACAGGAAACACUACACUUAGUGAGAGCGUCACAAAGACCACAUGUUGUAUGACGGAAUUAUCUGAAAUGUCCAGAAUAGGUAAAGCUGUAGAAACACGAUGGUAUUUAUCAGGGUCUGGAGGGCUGGGGAGGAAGGAGGGACUGCCGAUGGCCAUGAAGUCUCUCUAUGGGGUGAUAAAACUAUUCGAAAAUUAGUUAUGGCAAUGGUUGCACGACUCUGUGAAUAUAUUAAAAACCACUGAAUCGGACACUUACGGCUACAUUUUGUAGUAUGUAAAUUAUAUCUGUAUCUUCUAUUAAAAACAUUUUGUCCUUACUUUAUCAAAAUAGGACUUGAGAAUUCAAUAAAAGACUUGAGUUCUCACUAAUUAAGUUUAAUACAUUUUACUGUGAGAUCAGAUCAGUUUUGAAAAUUAAAAUGCUGUAUUAAAAAUAAUGCUACCUUUUUCUUGCAAAUUCCACCCCCGAAAAAAAAUUAAUCAAUAUUUAUUCCUAUAGGACUUCUCAGAGGUUUUACGCAUAUGUCAUUAUGUCCGGUGAG
Molecule: long non-coding RNA, 5482 nt
Organism: Callithrix jacchus (white-tufted-ear marmoset)
Lineage: Eukaryota; Metazoa; Chordata; Mammalia; Primates; Cebidae
Source: Ensembl